AGAAGAUAUGGUCACAAAACCUGACUUGAACUCAGGAAUAGGGCGUUCAACUCGCCCAUCUUCUU
This 65-nucleotide transfer RNA is filed under the name Unio tumidus. RNAcentral describes it as "tRNA-Ser". The record is from RNAcentral. Lineage: Eukaryota; Metazoa; Mollusca; Bivalvia; Unionida; Unionidae.